This 460-nucleotide ribosomal RNA is filed under the name uncultured bacterium. RNAcentral's name for it is "partial 16S ribosomal RNA". It matches the Rfam family "Bacterial small subunit ribosomal RNA", at positions 338 to 795 of the family's 1533-position model. The record is from RNAcentral.
CCUACGGGGGGCAGCAGUGAGGAAUAUUGGUCAAUGGACGAGAGUCUGAACCAGCCAAGUAGCGUGAAGGAUGACUGCCCUAGGGGUUGUAAACUUCUUUUAUAAAGGAAUAAAACGAGGCACGUGUGCCUUUUUGCAUGUACUUUAUGAAUAAGGAUCGGCUAACUCCGUGCCAGCAGCCGCGGUAAUACGGAGGAUCCGAGCGUUAUCCGGAUUUAUUGGGUUUAAAGGGAGCGUAGAUGGGUUGUUAAGUCAGUUGUGAAAGUUUGCGGCUCAACCGUAAAAUUGCAAUUGAUACUGGCAGUCGUGAGUACAGUUGAGGUAGGCGGAAUUCGUGGUGUAGCGAUGAAAUGCUUAGAUAUCACGAAGAACUCCGAUUGCGAAGGCAGCUUACUAAACUGCCACUGACAUUGAUGCUCGAAAGUGUGGGUAUCAAACAGGAUUAGAUACCCGAGUAGUC